Molecule: long non-coding RNA, 1111 nt
Filed under: Citrus maxima (pomelo)
Lineage: Eukaryota; Viridiplantae; Streptophyta; Magnoliopsida; Sapindales; Rutaceae
Description: long non-coding RNA (CMAX_LNC002853)
Source: RNAcentral
AAAAUUUAAAUUUUGGAUUAAUUAUUUUUUCACAUUAAAAUAUUAUGUGAUAGAUAUAUGACUAUAACAUGCCAUUAUGAAUUCAUGACGGAAAAUAUUCUGUCAUAAAUUUAUGACAGUGACAUAAAUGACGGAUGAACUGUCUGUCAUGUACUAUCUUUUACGACAGUUAUUUUCUAUUAUCUGUUGCCUAUUUUCUUGUAGUGAAGGAUCCUUUUGCAGGUCCUUGAGUUCCUUUAAAAUACGCUUUGAAGCCAUGACUCUUCAAGGGAUUAUUAAAAUUAAAGCUACAACGAACCUUAAGACCUGCAAAACUGUAAACAGAUCCAUAUACAGCUUCUUAAUUAGACUAUCCAAGCUUGUAAAACAACAAAUUAUUUGAUCUACUGCAUCUGAAUUAAAAAGUGUAAAUCAAAAUUUCAAAAAUACUAAAAACAUCAUGACGCAAAUUGACCUUGCGCGGCAGAGAACAGGAUCGUAGGGCAAUAGCGUCGAGAAAGCGAAACAGUGAAGCAGAUCUACGUCUUCAAGCCGCCCCCGCCUCACUCCUCUAACAACCCCUUGCUUUGUUCUUCAACACAAAUAUCGUCUAGAAAGAACGUUCGGUGUUAUAAUGGAUUCACAUAAGCGAAAACGAACAAGCUAACCCUAAAUAGCGUGAACAAAUCAAAGCUUGAAAUUAUGAAAACACAAUCGAAAUCACGGCAUAAUGGAUUCACAUAAGUGACGAGAAACAACAUGCAAACGAGAAAUUGGACCUGAGGAGUGGCUAAGAGGCCGAGAUGGUAGAGAGACUGUUGUUGAAGAAGCGCUUGCUGCACCAGUGCUUGUUGCUGCUGCUAAUGCUGCUUCAACCUCCGGUACUGCAUUUUCUUUCAGAAUCGAAGGAUUUGUAAACUGUUUGUCGAAGGAUUUGUAAAUUGUUUGGUUCCUAAGAAAAUUUCGUUAAGGUUUCUUGAGAAAAUGAAAGAAAAGAAAAAAAAUGAAGAAAAUGAGAGAGUGACGAGAGAAGCAGCGUUUUAUUUUCUAAGUGUGUAUGACUGCAUUCAUUUAACACUUAGGAAAAAAAUGAAGAAAAAAAGUUUAAAGUACUCAAAACGGUACAGUUUUG